AUACAUACCUGGCAGGGGAGAUACCAUGAUCACUAAGGUGGUUCUCCCAGGCCGAGGCUCAUCCAUUGAACUCCGGAUGUGCUGACCCCCGCGUUUUCCCUAAAUGCGGGAAACUAGACUGCAUAAUUUGUGGUAGAGGAGGGCUAUAUUCGCGCUCUCCCCUG
Polypterus senegalus (gray bichir) is the source of this 164-nucleotide small nuclear RNA. RefSeq annotates it as U1 spliceosomal RNA. Lineage: Eukaryota; Metazoa; Chordata; Cladistia; Polypteriformes; Polypteridae. The transcript has a single exon. The record is from RefSeq and is a predicted model, not a curated record.